GACGAACGCUGGCGGCGUGCUUAACACAUGCAAGUCGAACGGGUCUGCCCUGUUUUUUGCGGGGUGGGUCAGUGGCGAACGGGUGAGUAACACGUGAGUAACCUGCCCCUCACUUCUGGAUAACCGCUUGAAAGGGUGGCUAAUACGGGGUGUUCUGGCUGUGCCGCAUGGUGUGGCUGGGAAAGAUUCACUUUUGUGGUGUUUUGGUGGGGGAUGGGCUCGCGGCCUAUCAGCUUGUUGGUGGGGUGAUGGCCUGCCAAGGCUUUGACGGGUAGCCGGCCUGUGAGGGUGGGCGGUCACACUGGGACUGAGAUACGGCCCAGACUCCUGCGGGAGGCAGCAGUGGGGGGUAUUGCACAAUGGGCGGAAGCCUGAUGCAGCGACGUCGCGUGAGGGAUGGAGGCCUUCGGGUUGUGAACCUCUUUCGCCGGUGAAGAAGGUCCUGCUCUUUGUGGUGGGGUUGACGGUAGCCGGGUUAUGAAGCGCCGGCUAACUACGUG
This 500-nucleotide ribosomal RNA is filed under the name uncultured bacterium. Its description in RNAcentral is "partial 16S ribosomal RNA". It matches the Rfam family "Bacterial small subunit ribosomal RNA", at positions 28 to 507 of the family's 1533-position model. The record is from RNAcentral.